GUGAUUGUGCAUUUUAUAUGAUAAGUAUAUACAACUGCGUUAUGCUGAAAUUGCUUGUGAACUAAAAGGGAUUUUUUGUAAACCUUGAUAUCCUCCAAUACGAGGGAAUAUUGUUAUUGGGAAACUUAGCCUGUAAGGUUGGGUGUUACUACAUCCUAGAUAAUAGAAUGCUAAGGCCCGCCUCUUAGCUGUUCACGCUAGAUAGGGAGAUGGGAAGUGAUACCAGUGGUAACUGAAUCAUCGUAGCAGUAUAUUGAUACUUACUUUAUGUUACGGGUGUAAACUACUAACAGUGUGGAAUACCACAAGAGAGUCUAAUUCGAAGGGCAUGCUCAAGCUAACGUGCCAUUCCAUUGCACUAGUCACGGGGAACCUGGAGCCUAUCCCAGGAAGCAUCGGGCACAAGGAAACCGGAGUACCCGGAGGAAACCCCCGCAUCAUGGGGAGAACAUGCAAAUCCGUGCACACAGAGCUGCGGGAAUCGAACCCCGACCCUGGCGGUGUGAGGCGAACGUGCUAACCAUAAAAUAUGCACAUGUAAUACAUUUAACUUGUAACAUGUAAAAUAACUCCCAUUAAUCAAACAUGUAAUUUACAUUCAUAUAACCAAUCAAAUAUUUUGAAUAAAAUG
Ictalurus punctatus (channel catfish) is the source of this 631-nucleotide long non-coding RNA. The record is from Ensembl. Lineage: Eukaryota; Metazoa; Chordata; Actinopteri; Siluriformes; Ictaluridae.